UGGGGAAUAUUGGACAAUGGGGGGAACCCUGAUCCAGCCAUGCCGCGUGUGUGAAGAAGGCCUUUUGGUUGUAAAGCACUUUAAGCGAGGAGGAGGCUUACCUGGUUAAUACCUGGGAUAAGUGGACGUUACUCGCAGAAUAAGCACCGGCUAACUCUGUG
Molecule: ribosomal RNA, 161 nt
Filed under: uncultured bacterium
Lineage: Bacteria
Description: partial 16S ribosomal RNA
Rfam family: Bacterial small subunit ribosomal RNA
Source: RNAcentral